Molecule: ribosomal RNA, 427 nt
Filed under: uncultured bacterium
Lineage: Bacteria
Description: bacterial SSU rRNA
Rfam family: Bacterial small subunit ribosomal RNA
Source: RNAcentral
GGGGAAUUUUGGACAAUGGGCGAAAGCCUGAUCCAGCAAUGCCGCGUGCAGGAUGAAGGCCUUCGGGUUGUAAACUGCUUUUGUACGGAACGAAAAGGCUCUGGCUAAUACCUGGGGCACAUGACGGUACCGUAAGAAUAAGCACCGGCUAACUACGUGCCAGCAGCCGCGGUAAUACGUAGGGUGCGAGCGUUAAUCGGAAUUACUGGGCGUAAAGCGUGCGCAGGCGGUUUUGUAAGACAGAGGUGAAAUCCCCGGGCUCAACCUGGGAACUGCCUUUGUGACUGCAAAGCUGGAGUGCGGCAGAGGGGGAUGGAAUUCCGCGUGUAGCAGUGAAAUGCGUAGAUAUGCGGAGGAACACCGAUGGCGAAGGCAAUCCCCUGGGCCUGCACUGACGCUCAUGCACGAAAGCGUGGGGAGCAAACAG